CCCUUAGAUGUUCUGGGCCGCACGCGCGCUACACUGAUGCAUUCAACGAGUCUAAAACCUGCUCUGAUAGGGGUGGGUAAUCUUUUGAAUGUGCAUCGUGAUUGGGAUAGAUGAUUGCAAUCUUUCAUCUUCAACGAGGAAUGCCUAGUAAACGCAAGUCAUCAGCUUGCAUUGAUUACGUCCCUGCCCUUUGUACACACCGCCCGUCGCUCCUACCGAUUGAAUGAUCCGAUGAAUAUCAUGGAUUGAGGAUGCAAGCAGGUUCGCCUGUCUUCAUCUUCGAGAAGUGAAGUAAAUCUUAUCAUUUAGAGGAAGGAGAAGUCGUAACA
This 329-nucleotide ribosomal RNA is filed under the name uncultured eukaryote. RNAcentral describes it as "partial 18S ribosomal RNA". It matches the Rfam family "Eukaryotic small subunit ribosomal RNA", at positions 1470 to 1796 of the family's 1831-position model. The record is from RNAcentral.